GCGGUAAUACCAGCUCUCCGAGUGGUAGGGACGAUUAUUGGGCUUAAAGCGUCCGUAGCCGGCUUAGCAAGUCUCCUGUUAAAUUCAGCGACUCAAUCGUUGAGCCGCGGGAGAUACUACUAGGCUAGGAGGCGGGAGAGGUCGACGGUAUUCCCGGGGGAGGGGUGAAAUCCUAUAAUCCCGG
Molecule: ribosomal RNA, 184 nt
Filed under: uncultured archaeon
Lineage: Archaea
Description: partial 16S ribosomal RNA
Rfam family: Archaeal small subunit ribosomal RNA
Source: RNAcentral